ACUCCUACGGGAGGCAGCAGUAGGGAAUCUUCCACAAUGGACGAAAGUCUGAUGGAGCAACGCCGCGUGAGUGAAGGAGGGUUUCGGCUCGUAAAACUCUGUUGUUAAAGAAGAACAUAUCUGAGAGUAACUGUUCAGGUAUUGACGGUAUUUAACCAGAAAGCCACGGCUAACUACGUGCCAGCAGCCGCGGUAAUACGUAGGCGGCAAGCGUUGUCCGGAUUUAUUGGGCGUAAAAGCGAGCGCAGGUCGGUUUUAAGUCUGAUGUGAAAGCCUUCGGCUCAACCGAAGAAGUGCAUCGGAAACUGGGAAACUUGAGUGCAGAAGAGGACAGUGGAACUCCAAUGUGUAGCGGUGAAAUGCGUAGAUAUAUGGAAGAACACCAGUGGCGAAGGCGGCUGUCUGGUCUGUAACUGACGCUGAGGCUCGAAAGUAUGGGUAGCAAACAGGAUUAGAUACCCCUGGUAGGAUAGCG
This 475-nucleotide ribosomal RNA is filed under the name uncultured bacterium. RNAcentral describes it as "bacterial SSU rRNA". It matches the Rfam family "Bacterial small subunit ribosomal RNA", at positions 335 to 802 of the family's 1533-position model. The record is from RNAcentral.